Molecule: microRNA, 24 nt
Filed under: Populus trichocarpa (black cottonwood)
Lineage: Eukaryota; Viridiplantae; Streptophyta; Magnoliopsida; Malpighiales; Salicaceae
Description: ptc-miR481a
Gene: ptc-miR481a
Source: miRBase by way of RNAcentral
AGGACCUCACUUAACAGCUUAAGC